RNAcentral lists this ribosomal RNA (740 nucleotides) under uncultured archaeon. RNAcentral's name for it is "bacterial SSU rRNA". It matches the Rfam family "Archaeal small subunit ribosomal RNA", at positions 1 to 750 of the family's 1478-position model. The record is from RNAcentral.
UUCCGGUUGAUCCUGCCGGACCCGACUGCUAUCAGAGUGGGACUAAGCCAUGCGAGUCAACAUAGCAAUAUGUGGCAUACGGCUCAGUAACACGUAGUCAACAUGCCCAGGGGACGUGGAUAACCUCGGGAAACUGAGGAUAAACCGCGAUAAGUCACUACUUCUGGAACGGGUAAUGACUCAAAUCUAUAUGGCCCCUGGAUUGGACUGCGGCCGAUCAGGCUGUUGGUGAGGUAAUGGCCCACCAAACCUGUAACCGGUACGGGCUCUGAGAGGAGGAGCCCGGAGAUGGGCACUGAGACAAGGGCCCAGGCCCUAUGGGGCGCAGCAGGCGCGAAACCUCUGCAAUAGGCGAAAGCCUGACAGGGUUACUCUGAGUGAUUUCCGUUAAGGAGAUCUUUUGGCACCUCUAAAAAUGGUGCAGAAUAAGGGGUGGGCAAGUCUGGUGUCAGCCGCCGCGGUAAUACCAGCACCCCGAGUGGUCGGGACGUUUAUUGGGCCUAAAGCAUCCGUAGCCGGUUCUACAAGUCUUCCGUUAGAUCCACCUGCUUAACAGAUGGGCUGCGGAAGAUACUAUAGAGCUAGGAGGCGGGAGAGGCAAGCGGUACUCGAUGGGUAGGGGUAAAAUCCGUUGAUCCAUUGAAGACCACCAGUGGCGAAGGCGGCUUGCCAGAACGCGCUCGACGGUGAGGGAUGAAAGCUGGGGGAGCAAACCGGAUUAGAUACCCGGGUAGUCCCAG